CAGAUCUCCGAUUUUUUUGGUCUGAGUUCUCUCUAGUGAUUGAUCUUACAAUGAAAAGAUGGUUCAUGUCUUCUUCCCUCUCUUGCAAUGUCUAUCAAGGUUGGUGAUGCGUUUGCGACAUAUUGGAAUGCUCCAAUAGAUCUGGUUUGGCAAGCAAUAUUCGUUACGAUUGUAUUUAUUUACUAGGUAUAAGAGAAGCGUAUCCUAUGCCCGGUCAUCAUCCUCGUGUUAAUAUCAUCUCUCUCUCUCUCUCUCUCAGCUCAUUGUUGUUGUUCUUCUUACUGCAACUCAUUCACGACAUGAUGCAACUGGAGCUUUGUCACAGCCAUUGGACGAGCAGGGAGGCACAACUAUCGUUGCUAAAAUUAGUGGUUAUUCCAGCAUGACUUGGUUACUUGCCUAUAAAAUACGACAAGAUUGAAGCAAAGCUUGUACAUGAUUAGCUUUGUUCAAUAGCUGAACGGUAUCUGUUCUCUUCUCUUUGCAUCACAGCAACAUUCAUGUUCUUUUUACAGUUUAUAAAAUUUGUGUUUAUGUGCAGAUCGGACACACAAUUUCUUUGACCUCAUAGUUAGUAUUUUCCCAAAAUAGUUUCUAUAUUUGGCAAGGUAAUUUCUUACUUAUGUGCUUAUAUGUAUUGCUGAAUGAAACACUGACAUGGAAACAUUUUGUUUUGAUGUGUGAAUUUAUGUGGUAGUGGCGGAAUAUUUUUGCUAGCAGUCCAUCUUGAUAUAUUUAAACGUGAGUUUGUGGUGCCUGCUAAUUAAUUAUUUGAUCUAGAAGUUAGUUGGCUACCAAUUGUUCUACACAGAUUUGUUUCAUACCAGGUUCUUUUGUUUAUGCCUACAUGGUUGCCUUUGAUGGUUUGCUAGGACAGUGUGUAGUGUGGUGCACUUAAGUUAGGUUCUGGCCAGAUUGAAUUUCUGGCUUGAUGCAGUGUGGUGUAGUACUUCGACAUGGACAAACUUGACACUAUCAAAGCCUAGGACAACUACAGAAAAAUAGGAAAUUGUUCUGUGAGAAUCAAUCAGCCUGCAUGGAGAAUUCUCGCUACAAACUUUGGCAGAGUAAUUUUCUCAUAAUGAAAAGCUUAUAUGGUUCUUCGAUCUAAAUAAUCUGAGAGCCCUUGAUUCUUUUUCAGGACAAGAGAGGUGGAUGUGUUCACUAGGAGGCUUUUAGAUAUUCCAUCAAAGAUGAUGCAACUAAAUAAGAAAGAAGUAUUGUACAUCUUACUUUAGGUUCCAUUCACCGGUAAAAUUAUAUAAGCUUGGUCUUCCUAUUGUUGAUGGUCCGAGCACUCUGUCUGCCCCAUCUACUAUGGUUUCGAGAGUUAAAACCAGGUUGCUUUCAUAUUUUGUUUCGAGAUUGUUUGAUCGUUUGGUCGACAUAAGAUCAAGAAUGGACCUAAGUAUUCCAAACUGGCAUCCUUCCCUAAACUCAAUUAACUAAUUGAGAAAUCUUCCCUGCCUAGGUCUGCCCUUAAUGAAUUGAUCCGUUGUCGGCUAUACCGAGAUCUGGGUCCUUGGUUUUUCCAAGGAAAACCUGAUUGAGCAUGUAACAUGAACAUGAACGGCAGUUCCGUAGGACACCCACACUUGAUGAAAUGGAUACCCCUUGCUCAUCUCAUUCAAGUUAUGAGCACACAGUAGGAUUUAUGCAUUUCACAUACUGUCAGCUGUUCUGUACUAAUUGUUGUGUCUUAAAUUUCCUGUUCCCAGGACAACUUUCAGAAUUAGCUGAUCCAGUUCGAGCUCCUGUGAUCAAACCAAAACAUUUGUUGUCGCAGGAGUAUUCCGGGUGAACUUCAAGAGUGCUGUGAUCCAAAAUGCAUUCCAGUGGGUCCUCAUAAUUAUCGGGGUGAUUGGUUCAUUCAUCUUCUACUUCUUCGUUUGGUACUUCAAGUACAAGAGGCUGAUGCCCCUGUAGAGUAUAAGCUCUUCAUAUAGCAGUCUCAACCUUCUAUUCCCUCUGUUAAGACUUGCUACCCUUGGAAUGCUGCGGAAACAAGCACACACGGAUUGCUACUGUGUUCUCUAUACAAUCAAUACUGAUUGCUGAUUUCUUUCUUGAUGAGAUGAGCAACCCACUUGGUUCAUCAAAACUGAUUUUGACGUUUCCAAGUUGUAUGUACCAAAGAAGACUGGAAGCCGUUGAUCCUUCUGGAUACUAUCCUAACCCUUGGUUCUCUGCAGUGUCAACUGAAUGUAGUAGUGUUUCCAGGGUCCUGACAGAUUAUUGCUUCCCUUCUCUGUUACCAUAGUAGUGUUCAUUAAAUAGAUAUAUUUCUACUCAUGGAAGAUCUGAGUAAACUAUGUGUUCUGUUCAUAUAUUUAGUUUACUAGUGCAGAUUGUUGGUUGCUCUUUGUCCCUUUCUUGCGAAACUCAUACCAGCUCAUUUUUUAGAUGGCAAAGUAGUUGGUAGUAGAUAGUUAAUGUCACCCUUCUGCUGCUAAACGCUUUUUGUAUUUUUAGGAAGCAUACGUGAUGUUCUUAUGAUUUUCUAUUUUCUAUCCUGGCAAUGACAUCGAUGAAGUUGGUUCAUAAUGGUGUUAUUCGUCGAUUUAUAGACCCUUCUAUAUUUUCAAUAAAGGUUGUAUAGAGAUUCAUAGCUAGCUGCAUAAGCAUAAUUCAGUAAGAAUUUAUCUAUUUUCCCUGGAACACUACUGUCCAGCAUAUACGUGUAUUUGCUGAUUCUAACAAAGAUGCAUGCUGAUGUUUGAAAAGUACAGUAUGUAUCUUUAAUCUUAGAACUGUUGCUGUGUAGCUUGAGUAGCUGGUCGAUUUAGGUUUGUGCAUCUUUGUAACUGAAACUAAUUUACAUCUGCAUCUUAUUAAGUUAGGCCAACUACCAUUUCUUUGAUUAUAUUGUAACCCCUGAUUUGCCACCCUCCUUUGUAAAAAUGGACUUUACCAACGUGUGAAUAUCCACAGAUAUGUCUACGAAAAUUGGAGUAUGUGGUUCAGAUUAAUACCAUUUCACUUCAGUUAGCUGAAAGACAGUACGAUGAGCAAGCUUUCUACCAUUUGAUUGUGUAAUUUUUCGUGUCAAUGAGGUGACCGAGCCAACACACUCAGGUUCUUUGUACUUCGUUAUUUACUCAGUUUUUUAAUGUAGUCAAGUUUUUACAUGUCAUAAAUCCUUUUAUAUCCAUUUUUCUGCAAGGAAUGUAUGUAUUUCCAUUGGACGCAUUUGGUUUUCUCUUGAUAACAUUCAAUCAUUAAUGAUUUGGCCAUUUUUUUGAUGUGAAAGCACAUGUUCAUUUCUUAUCUGUAACUAAACACUGCCUCCUGUAGAUUUUCGUGUUUGUAAUUUCUGGAAAUCUGUGUUAUCAUCAACUAUGCUAUUGGUGUGUAUAUUUUCAUGGUUUAAUCAGCAUGAGGAAUACCAGUCGAGGAAACAACAUGAUCCAGUGAUCUAUGCCUUUCGAACUCGGACACAACACUACCCAGUAGAGAAGUAGCAAAUUAAGAAGCGGUGAACAUGAUGCUAAAUAUUGUAGCCUGCAUAAUCUUUGUAAAAAAUAUAGUUAGCUUGAAAGAAACAACAAAGAAUAUAUGAUAUUAGCGUAACUGCUUCAGUGUGGGCAGGCUGAACUCUUUUGAAAUGCAGCACGAGAGUUCUUUGGGAUAUACCACCACUAUAUCUGAGAACAUCCGCUACUGAUGUCCUUGAUCAUAAGAUUAUCCCCAGAAAUGAAGGAUCAAUUGCUGUUUCUACUAUGCAGUCUAUUUGGAAGCUACACACAUGGUGAAUUGCAGUACCAACUGAGUUCCAAUUCGUUUCCGAAGGCGACCUAAACUGUCUGUGGUUUAAUAUCAAUUUGGAUGUCGCCUUACUGGAUCUGGUACAAUGUCAAGGGGUAAUUAUCUGGUGGCAAGCUGCAUGCAGUAUUCAGGUAUCACAAGGCAUGUUGUAGCUGAAACUCUUGCAUGUAGAGAUGCAGUUUUGCUAGCUAUGUGGAGGAACUAUCAACGAGGAACUACCCAAUAACAGUCCAGACAAGGAUGGGAGGCUGAAGGAGGCCAGGUCUUGCCUGAGAUGGAAAUGAUCGUCUCAAACGUUCAGGAUUUUGUUUAUCUUCUGUAUCAUGAAGGCUGAAGGAAACACCAUCAUUUGAAAAGCUUUGCAACCAUGCUACAAGUAUUAAAGCUUUCUUAGAUUGAUGGUUUAGGUUAACUUUAUUUAGUUAUUUAGGAUCAACUGCGAUGUUCAGUAUGUAUCCUGAAAUGUUAUACUUCCAUUACAAAUUGAUUUAUGGUGCUUUUGUGCU
Long non-coding RNA from Lolium perenne, 4271 nucleotides. RefSeq lists it as uncharacterized. The record is from RefSeq and is a predicted model, not a curated record. Lineage: Eukaryota; Viridiplantae; Streptophyta; Magnoliopsida; Poales; Poaceae.